AACGAACGCUGGCGGCAUGCCUAACACAUGCAAGUCGAACGAGACCUUCGGGUCUAGUGGCGCACGGGUGCGUAACGCGUGGGAACCUGCCCUUAGGUUCGGAAUAACUCCCCGAAAGGGGUGCUAAUACCGGAUAAUGUCUUCGGACCAAAGAUCUCUCGCCUUUGGAUGGGCCCGCGUUGGAUUAGCUAGUUGGUAGGGUAAAAGCCUACCAAGGCGACGAUCCAUAGCUGGUCUGAGAGGAUGAUCAGCCACACUGGGACUGAGACACGGCCCAGACUCCUACGGGAGGCAGCAGUGGGGAAUAUUGUACGAUGGGCGAAAGCCUGAUCCAGCAAUGCCGCGUGAGUGAUGAAUGCCUUAGGGUUGUAAUGCUCUUUUACCCGGGAUGAUAAUGACAGUACCGGGAGAAUAAGCACCGGCUAACUACGUG
This 433-nucleotide ribosomal RNA is filed under the name uncultured bacterium. Its description in RNAcentral is "partial 16S ribosomal RNA". It matches the Rfam family "Bacterial small subunit ribosomal RNA", at positions 29 to 507 of the family's 1533-position model. The record is from RNAcentral.